Molecule: ribosomal RNA, 178 nt
Filed under: uncultured Pseudomonas sp.
Lineage: Bacteria; Pseudomonadati; Pseudomonadota; Gammaproteobacteria; Pseudomonadales; Pseudomonadaceae
Description: partial 16S ribosomal RNA
Rfam family: Bacterial small subunit ribosomal RNA
Source: RNAcentral
CCUGAGGUAUUUGCGACAUGGGGGAAGCCUGAUCCAGCCAUGCCGCGUGUGUGAUGAAGGUCUUCGGAUUGUAAGCUCUUUUAGUUGGGAGGAAGGGCAGUUACCUAAUACGUGAUUGUCUUGCCGUUACCGAGGGAAUAAGCCCCGGCUAUCACUGUGGCAGCGGGCGCGGUAAUCA